RNAcentral lists this non-coding RNA (148 nucleotides) under Pan troglodytes (chimpanzee). Lineage: Eukaryota; Metazoa; Chordata; Mammalia; Primates; Hominidae. The record is from Rfam by way of RNAcentral.
GCUGGGUGUGGUGGCGCACACUUGUAAUCCCAGCUACUAGGGAGGCUGAGGUGGGAGGAUCGCUUGAACCCAGGAGGUAGAGGUUGCAGUGAGCUGAGAUCAUGCCACUGUACUCCAGCCUGGGCGACAGAGUGAGAAUCCAUCUCAA